Molecule: transfer RNA, 73 nt
Filed under: Trichonephila inaurata madagascariensis
Lineage: Eukaryota; Metazoa; Arthropoda; Arachnida; Araneae; Nephilidae
Rfam family: tRNA
About the family: Transfer RNA (tRNA) molecules are approximately 80 nucleotides in length. Their secondary structure includes four short double-helical elements and three loops (D, anti-codon, and T loops).
Source: Rfam by way of RNAcentral
GUCCCUGUAGCGCAAUGGAUCGCGCGUUGGACUUCUAAUCCAAAGGUCGUGGGUUCGAAUCCUACCUGGGAUG